GCUCUGGAAGGUCAAAUUAAAAAUAUCGAUAAAGUUAUAGAAAUCGUUGAGUCCGACCGUCAUGUAAAUACUACCUCAAUUGUCCAGGAGCUAAUCCUUAUCCCUGAACUAAACAUUGAACAAAAACUUGUUAAAAACGUAAAAAGACAUUCGAGGUAUGGUUGCCACAUUAGUUAUCGCAAACAAUUCUCAUAGACCGAAUUCCUCUUGCAACAGAAUCGAUCCAUUUCUUAGGAGGAUGAUUAUUGGUAAAGUAAGGUGGAUUACUUGUGACAACUUCGAAUAAAAAUGGUCUAUUGUCGAAUUCUGGUGAACCUGCGCAACGAUGGCUAAGCCAGCAUUGAUGGUCAGUAAGAUUUUGCUACGGUUUUGUUGGAAUUAGUAGGGAAUCAUAUACUAUGAACUACUCCCUUACGGUAUUGUACUGUCACCAAUUUGACCGUCCAAAUGAAGUAAUCGCGUAGAGAUGGCCAGUAUUGGAAAAUAGCGGGAGCUAUGGCCACAUCGAUAAUGACUCGCCAGAAGCAACGAAAGCUUUAUGGGAGGUAUGCAAGUGAUAUGAAACUACCUUCAAAAUGGCAACAAAUACUAAUGAUAAAUAGGCGUUCCAUUAUAAUGACAUACGUGUAAUACGUGCUGUAUGCAUGAAUAUUAUGGAAAGAGAGAACUGUUUUGCCAACAUGGACUUUCAAUUUAAUACAUCUUGUGAUGGAGUCAUACAUAAACUCGUAGACUGUAUAUGGACAAUCUACCUGCGUCAUUGUUUUUUCUACCAACUUUAGUACGGAGUGUAGAAAACGAAUACAGACAUGCGGUUUCCACUUGCGAUUCUAAAAUCUCGCUUGAUUUGUACUGGAGUGCGCACAAUACCGUUUUGAUCCCUCAGGCCUAUGCAAACGUCGCUUGUCUUAGCCAAGUACGCCUGCAGCCACCAGCG
Bactrocera neohumeralis is the source of this 937-nucleotide long non-coding RNA. RefSeq lists it as uncharacterized. The record is from RefSeq and is a predicted model, not a curated record. Lineage: Eukaryota; Metazoa; Arthropoda; Insecta; Diptera; Tephritidae. The transcript has 4 exons.